GCGAGUUCUUAAUGGAGAAGCACCGUUAUUGCAUUGAACUGACAGCUCAGGGAUUCCGUGUGGUGGGUUAUGACUACAAUCAAAUAAAUGUAGCAUCUGACGACUACUUCGAAACCCCAUACGCUUUGCUUGACAAACUAAACAUAGUUUCGAC
Molecule: long non-coding RNA, 154 nt
Organism: Daphnia magna
Lineage: Eukaryota; Metazoa; Arthropoda; Branchiopoda; Diplostraca; Daphniidae
Exons: 3
Source: RefSeq, a predicted model, not a curated record